GACGAACGCUGGCGGCGUGCUUAACACAUGCAAGUCGUACGGUAAGGCCCUUUCGGGGGUACACGAGUGGCGAACGGGUGAGUAACACGUGAGUAACCUGCCCACAACUUUGGGAUAACGCUAGGAAACUGGUGCUAAUACUGGAUAUGUGCCCCUGCUGCAUGGUGGGGGUUGGAAAGCUCCGGCGGUUGUGGAUGGACUCGCGGCCUAUCAGCUUGUUGGUGGGGUAGUGGCCUACCAAGGCGGCGACGGGUAGCCGGCCUGAGAGGGUGACCGGCCACAUUGGGACUGAGAUACGGCCCAGACUCCUACGGGAGGCAGCAGUGGGGAAUAUUGCACAAUGGGCGCAAGCCUGAUGCGGCAACGCCGCGUGCGGGAUGACGGCCUUCGGGUUGUAAACCGCUUUCAGCAGGGACGAAGCUUUUUGUGACGGUACCUGCAGAAGAAGCACCGGCUAACUACGUG
RNAcentral lists this ribosomal RNA (465 nucleotides) under uncultured bacterium. RNAcentral's name for it is "partial 16S ribosomal RNA". It matches the Rfam family "Bacterial small subunit ribosomal RNA", at positions 28 to 507 of the family's 1533-position model. The record is from RNAcentral.